UCUUUUUCAAAGAAGAAGCCAACAAUUUUUUUUUUUUUAGCCAGCCACCUGCAAACACGUCAUUAAUGACAUGUUGAAUGAAUGAAUGAAUGAAUGUCAACAUAAAGGAUUUACAUGUCCAGGCUCAACAACUCCUACAAAGUGGACUUUGGGAUUAAACAGAAGAUCCGACUUUGUCUAAGUUUUCCUGGAGAAGGACUGAGCACAUGUGCUUCACUUAACAACAAAAGAAAAGGAUGUGGCCCCCGGGCUGGAGUUUGACACUUUUGAUGGAGGGGUGGCGGACCCCCUGUUGAAAAAUGACUGAGUGGACUCAUGCGGACCAACCACUACAGCAGUGACAUUUUUAGGUCAGCCCUCGCUCACUUUCAUCAUCAUGGCGCCGCCGCCGCCGCCGCCAUGCCUUCACGCACAAGGUGAAGUCAAAUUCCCCCUCAAGGGGGGAAGUGAUCUCCCGCCAUGUUCCCACACACACUUCUCACCCGGCUCUUGUUUGAAGAGGGCGAGACUGGAGUUGGAGCCGACAGCUGUCACACGCACACACACCUGUGCCAAGGUGCGACACACACACACACACACACGUAUUCGUUACCUUCUUGAGAAUAAUGGCUACCUCUUACAACAUGAAUAAUAUAUACAUACUAUGCACAUAUAAAAAAAGCUUCUUGUGAAAAA
Long non-coding RNA from Nerophis ophidion (straightnose pipefish), 675 nucleotides. RefSeq lists it as uncharacterized. The transcript has 3 exons. The record is from RefSeq and is a predicted model, not a curated record. NCBI's taxonomy places the organism in Eukaryota, Metazoa, Chordata, Actinopteri, Syngnathiformes, Syngnathidae.